CCUACGGGGGGCAGCAGUGGGGGAUAUUGGACAAUGGGGGGAACCCUGAUCCAGCGACGCCGCGUGAGUGAAGAAGUAUUUCGGUAUGUAAAGCUCUGUCAGCAGGGAAGAAAGCAAUGACGGUACCUGACCAAGAAGCCCCGGCUAACUACGUGCCAGCAGCCGCGGUAAUACGUAGGGGGCAAGCGUGAUCCGGAAUUACUGGGUGUAACGGGAGCGUAGACGGCUGUGCAAGUCUGGAGUGAAAGGCGGGGGCCCAACCCCCGGACUGCUCUGGAAACUGGAUGGCUGGAGUGCAGGAGAGGCAAGCGGAAUUCCUAGUGUAGCGGUGAAAUGCGUAGAUAUUAGGAGGAACACCAGUGGCGACGGCGGCUUGCUGGACAGUAACUGACGUUGAGGCUCGAAAGCGUGGGGAGCAAACAGGAUUAGAUACCCCUGUAGUC
Molecule: ribosomal RNA, 443 nt
Filed under: uncultured bacterium
Lineage: Bacteria
Description: partial 16S ribosomal RNA
Rfam family: Bacterial small subunit ribosomal RNA
Source: RNAcentral